AUCAUCAUGUCUAAGGAUUAAUCCCUGGUUGUUUCCCAGCCUCUAAAAGAACAUAGCCUAGCAGUACUGUGCAGUACGUCAGUCAGAGCUGCGUGUUGGAAGUAAGUCAGCAAUAUAUGCAAACAUUGGAAGGUGGGUGAGGCAAGGUGCGGGGGUUUUUUGGUGUUGUUUUUGUUAUUUUGUUUUUCUGUAGCAAAGGCCUGUGGAAAAUCUUCCAAAAGUGGCAAUCCUGGGGAUCUGCGCGCAGGCAGAUCAGGAAGAGGAGACCCAAGACUGACCCCAUUGUGGAGGUCCUGGACCCACUCCUGGGAGGAAAGAGGCAAGGGUCCCCUACCCAGUGACUUCAAAUGAGGAAACUGAGGCCUAGACACGGGCAGGUAGCUGCUCAGAGUCACAGACAUCAGUAAGGGGCAGGAGCCACGGAGACCAGGAGUAGAAGACCUCACGGCUUCAGAGAAUCCCCACCCCCAGCCAAACCUGAACCCCCAACAGCAUCUCAGCUAGGUGCCAGUGCCCAGCCCCCACUCUGUCAGAACAAAGAGCUUAUAAACCAAUCCCCACACUACUGAUGUGAAUCCAUGUCCUCUCAGGGAGAAGCCCCAGAAACGGAGUGCUAGAUGGACCCUUAGAGUCCCCUCCCACCUCUGGCUGGGCCUGAGCCCUGAGUCUCAGCCAUCCAUUCACUAAGAAGGACAGGACUACUCCCUAACCAGGGACCACAUUGCCUUUUAAGGAUGAGUGUGGAGUGGACAUUACAUUUCAGCAUCAAAGUGAGUUUCGAUAAAUAAGUAUGUGGUAAGACCCUUUAAAAAAAAACGCAUGUACAAAUACUUCUCUGUGGAUAAAGAACAUUUUGAAAAGCAAUCACUCCUUCAGUAAAUGUUUACUGAGCCCCUACCCUAUGCCAGACACUGUGCUAAAUGCUGAAUAUGGGAUAAUGGACAAAAGAUACAGUCUCAACCUUCAUAGCAGUAACAUUGGAUUGAAAACAAACACCUGAGAUCUACCUAUGAACUACGCAAAUACCUUUCACACAGUGAAGUUAAUACAAUGUAAUAAAAUGAACAUUAGUAUUUGAGACUAGCUGUACAUAUAUACUUGUGUUUAUAAAAUAGGAUAUUCUUUAUAACUAAGUUCUAUGUUAUUUAUAAUAUUGGUCAUUUCAAUGACAUUUUAGUAAAUUCCCUGACAAUUAGGCUACUUCUUCGCUACAUAAAAUAGAAUACUGGAACGGGUAUGUUUAAUUAAGGAUAUUCUCUUAAAAUGUGUGAUAAGCACCAUCUGUCUGAGGGUUACAUGAAUGAAAUGUAACAAUUUUGCUAAUAACCAAUAAAUAGCAAUUCCUUACAGGGCAUUACAAAGUUCAA
Molecule: long non-coding RNA, 1367 nt
Organism: Felis catus (domestic cat)
Lineage: Eukaryota; Metazoa; Chordata; Mammalia; Carnivora; Felidae
Exons: 2
Source: RefSeq, a predicted model, not a curated record